CCAAAUAUACAGAUGAACAGUAAUAUUUUCUCUCUCCUCCACUCACAACCACUUUUUAUACCCUUUACAAUAUAAAAACUCACUCUCACAAGUUUUGAUGGAUUGGAUGAGAAUGCUCUUAGACGAGUUGCGCACCUCACUUGACGACUAACACAUCACCGUCGAGAACAAGAUUCCGGUAAUCGUUGUACCCCUUCUUUUAUUUCUAUGUAUCUUUACGGCUUUUAAAUUUUACAUUACAAAACUAAAUCUUAGAAACAAGAAAACAUCAUAUUUAUUCUUAAUGAUUGAGAAGGUAGAUUAUAUUUGGCAAAUCGGUGAACCUUCAGUUGUAGUUCAGGUCGUACUUUGUCACCAACCGGCAAUUUGGAAUAUUUAUAUUAGUUUAUUCUUAAAAAAAAAACAAUUGCUUUACAUGGAUAUAAGCAAAUGGGUCAAUUUAGGUUGUACAUUGUGAUCGAGUCAAGUCAGGAUGUACAUUGUCACAAACGGAUCAAAUGGGUGUUAUUUAUAUUUUAGUUUUUUUCUUAAAAUACCCAAUUACUUAAAUGAUUUUAGGCAAAUGGGUAAACGGGUUGAUUGAGGUGUACUUUUUUUACCAAAAAUACAUGGUUCGGUAUGAUUCGGUACUAGUACAGACCAAUAUUUGAAGGUAAAAACCGGUAAAUACUUGUACCGAAUCAGUAUCAAAUUUUUCGAGUCGGUUCAGGAAAUUUUGUACCGGUACUGGUUCGGUACUGGUUUCGAACUGGUAACCAGAACCAUUUGCUGAUCCCUACUGAAGACUGAUUGCAUAUAUGUUAUUUUGUGUUUUUUAUUAAGUGUUAUCUCCCGAAAUAGUCUGCUAUAUACUUACAUCAUGUAGUAUUAUGACUUUGAGUAUGAUUUUUUUCUUUGUUAAUACAUUAGCAUGAUCCAAUAUGGGCACUGAAGAUGGCAUGUCUAACUAUUCUCUCUUUGCAAUGGUGUUUCUUUUAUGCUAAAACGUGGUGGAUUCUUUGAUGUAAUGAUAAUUUUCCAUGUUAAGAGGUGGCGGUUUUGACCGGUUUACUUAUUAAGUUUGGUUUUGGGUUGGGUUGGGUUGGGUUGUGUUUUUUAUCAAACAGGUCAGGUUUGUUAAAUUCAAAAGUUUAGCUAAAAGCGGAACGGGUCAUAUGGUCAAACAAAACUAUAAGUCACUUUUUUGAAGCAUACAACUUCAAAAGUCGUUUCAUUUGAAGAUUUUAUUGAAGUUUUAGAAAAGAAGAUUUUAGUGUUAGUGUGAUAACGUGUUUAGACCUGAUUCUUUUUCGAUUGAUCCGAUAAGACCUGUUUUGAUAUUUAUAACAACCGCUUCUAUGAUCCCAAGAUUGUGCUCGAUUUUGUUGCGAGUAGAACCGAGUCCAUUCAUUUCUACAUUUGUAGGCUCACAAAACACAAAUUUUAAUUAUAUCAUUUUUAUGCUCAUCGGUGCUUCCCAUAUCUUCAGAGGUGUUUUGCCACGUGUUACCGUUCCAUUCUAACUUUUUAGACGAGUUGUGUGCCUCACGACGACUAAUACAUCACUGUUGAGGGUAACAUUCCGGUAACCAAACUCCAUCAGUUUCCGCCAAUGUCUUGACGACUGACACAUCGCUGUCGAUAACAAGAUUCCGGUGAGCAUUGUACCCCUUCUUAUUUUUCUAUGUAUCUUUACGACUUUUAAAUUUUACAUUACAAAACUAAAUCUUAGAAACAAGAAAAGAUCGUUUUAUUUUUAAUGAUUGAGAAGGUAGAUUAGAUUUGACAAAUGGGUGAACCUUUGGUUGUAGUUCAGGUCGUACUUUUUCACCAAUCGGCGAAUUGUGAAUAUUUAUAUUAGUUUUUUCUUAAAAAAAAAACAAUUGCUUUAAAUGUAUAUAGGCAAAUGGAUCAAUCUAGGCUGUACAUUGUCACCAACGAGUCAAGUCAGCAUAUACAUUGUCACCAACUGCUUAAAUGGGUGUUAUUUAUUUUUUAGUUUUUUCUUAAAAUUCCCAAUUACUUAAAUGAUUUUAGGCAAAUGGGUAAACGGUUGAUUCAGGUGUACUUUUUUUUUUACCGAAAAUUCCCGGCACAGAAUUGUUCGCUACCUGUACGGACCAGUAUUUGAAGUUAAAAACCAGCAAAUAUCACCGAAAACCCUAAAUGUCAGUACCAAAUCAGUAUCAAUUUUUCGAGUCGGUUCGGGAAAUUUUGUACCAGUACCGGUUUGGUACGGGUUCUAAACCGGUACCCGGAACCAUUUGCUCAUCCCUACUCGAGACUGAUUGCAUAUAUGUUAUUGUGUGCUUCUUAUUAAGUGUUUUUUUCGAAAUAGUCUGCUAUAUACUUGGAUCGUGUAGUAUGACUUUAGGUAUGAUUUUCUUCUUUGUUAAUACACUAGCAUGAACCAAUAUUGGCGCUGAAGAUGACAUAUCUGACCCUUCGCUUCUUCGCAGUGGUGUUUAUUUUACGCUAAAACGUGGUGGAUUCUUGAGCUGCUUCUAUGAUCCCAAGAUCAUUCGAGAUUUUGUUGUGAGUAGAACCGAGUCCAUCCCUUUCUACAUUUGUAGGCUCACAAAACAUAAACUUUAAUUAUAUCAUUUUCAUGCUCAUCAGUGCUUUCCAUAUCUUCAUGCGUGUUUCGCCUCAUGUUUACCAUUUCAUUCUAACUUUUUCUUAGACGAGUUGAGCAACUCACUUGACAACUGAUACAUCACCGUCGUGAAAAAGAUUCCGGCAACCCAAAUCCAUCGAUUUCUGCCGGUAACUUGACGACUGACACAUCACUAUUGAGAGCAAGAUUCUGGUAACUUAGUAGGAAGCCUAUUAAAGCCAACCGGAUCACUGAAGGCUUAGAAAAGUGGCUAUAAAAGUUACCUAAAUAAAAAGGAGAAUUGUUU
Helianthus annuus (common sunflower) is the source of this 2882-nucleotide long non-coding RNA. RefSeq lists it as uncharacterized. The transcript has 3 exons. Lineage: Eukaryota; Viridiplantae; Streptophyta; Magnoliopsida; Asterales; Asteraceae. The record is from RefSeq and is a predicted model, not a curated record.